GCCAUGCUGACGAGUCCUAAAAUGGACGAAACAGCUGUCCAUGGU
Molecule: non-coding RNA, 45 nt
Filed under: Nematostella vectensis (starlet sea anemone)
Lineage: Eukaryota; Metazoa; Cnidaria; Anthozoa; Actiniaria; Edwardsiidae
Source: RNAcentral